RNAcentral lists this ribosomal RNA (555 nucleotides) under uncultured bacterium. Its description in RNAcentral is "partial 16S ribosomal RNA". It matches the Rfam family "Bacterial small subunit ribosomal RNA", at positions 355 to 902 of the family's 1533-position model. The record is from RNAcentral.
UGGGGAAUUUUGGACAAUGGGCGCAAGCCUGAUCCAGCCAUGCCGCGUGCGGGAAGAAGGCCUUCGGGUUGUAAACCGCUUUCGUCAGGGAAGAAAUCUUCUGAGUUAAUACCUCGGGAGGAUGACGGUACCUGAAGAAUAAGCACCGGCUAACUACGUGCCAGCAGCCGCGGUAAUACGUAGGGUGCAAGCGUUAAUCGGAAUUACUGGGCGUAAAGCGUGCGCAGGCGGUUUUGUAAGACAGAGGUGAAAUCCCCGGGCUCAACCUGGGAACUGCCUUUGUGACUGCAAGGCUUGAGUGCGGCAGAGGGGGAUGGAAUUCCGCGUGUAGCAGUGAAAUGCGUAGGUAUGCGGAGGAACACCGAUGGCGAAGGCAAUCCCCUGGGCCUGCACUGACGCUCAUGCACGAAAGCGUGGGGAGCAAACAGGAUUAGAUACCCUGGUAGUCCACGCCCUAAACGAUGUCAACUGGUUGUUGGGAAGGUUCCUUCUCAGUAACGUAGCUAACGCGUGAAGUUGACCGCCUGGGGAGUACGGCCGCAAGGUUGAAAACUC